CGGGGUGCAGCAGGCGCGAAAACUUUGCAAUACACGAAAGUGUGACAGGGUCAUCCCGAGUGCCGACCGCUGAGGUUGGCUUUUACCCUGUCUAGAAAGCUGGGGGAAUAAGGAGAGGGCAAGUCUGGUGUCAGCCGCCGCGGUAAUACCAGCUCUCCGAGUGGUGUGGUCGUUUAUUGGGCCUAAAGCAUCCGUAGCUGGCUGAACAAGUCCCCUGUUAAACCCACCGAUUUAAUCGUUGGUCUUCGGGGGAUACUGCUUGGCUAGGGGAUGAGAGAGGCAGACGGUAUUCCCGGGGUAGGGGUGAAAUCCUAUAAUCCCGAGAAGACCACCAGUGGCGAAGGCUGUCUGCUAGAACGCGCCCGACGGUGAGGGAUGAAAGCUGGGGGAGCGAACCGGAUUAGAUACCCGGGUAGUCCCAGCUGUUAACGAUGCAGACUAGGUGUUUGGACGGCCACGUGCCGUUCUAGUGCCGCAGGGAAGCUGUUAAGUCUGCCGCCUGGGGAGUACGAUCGCAAGAUUGAAACUUAAAGGAAUCGGCGGGGGAGCACAAGGGCGAAUUCGCG
This 566-nucleotide ribosomal RNA is filed under the name uncultured archaeon. RNAcentral's name for it is "bacterial SSU rRNA". It matches the Rfam family "Archaeal small subunit ribosomal RNA", at positions 326 to 899 of the family's 1478-position model. The record is from RNAcentral.